This is an RNA transcript of Suricata suricatta (meerkat), 2317 nucleotides long. It is a transcript of the gene named KH RNA binding domain containing, signal transduction associated 1, with no coding region annotated. The record is from RefSeq and is a predicted model, not a curated record. The transcript is spliced from 11 exons. NCBI's taxonomy places the organism in Eukaryota, Metazoa, Chordata, Mammalia, Carnivora, Herpestidae.
CGCCGCCUCAUUUCCGGUGCUCUCUUUCGCUGGGUCGCUCGGGUCGGCUUCGGUCGCUGUCGCUCCCGCUCUCCCACCCCCGCCAACCGCCGCUCGGGCCUCUGCCGCUGCCGCGUUGCUUCCUCGAUCCCUCGAUCGUACAUCCACCCCAAUGCAGCGCCGGGACGACCCCGCCGCGCGCAUGAGCCGGUCCUCAGGCCGCAGCGGCUCCAUGGACCCCUCCGGUGCCCACCCCUCAGUGCGUCAGGCGCCGUCUCGGCAGCCACCGCUGCCUCACCGAUCCCGGGGAGGCGGAGGGGGAUCCCGGGGGGGCGCCCGGGCCUCGCCCGCCACGCAGCCACCACCGCUGCUGCCGCCCUCGGCCACGGGUCCCGACGCGACAGUGGGCGGUCCAGCGCCGACCCCGCUGCUGCCCCCCUCAGCCACUGCCUCCGUCAAGAUGGAGCCGGAGAACAAGUACCUGCCCGAACUCAUGGCCGAGAAGGACUCGCUCGACCCGUCCUUCACUCACGCCAUGCAGCUACUGACGGCCGAAAUUGAGAAGAUUCAGAAAGGAGAUUCAAAAAAGGAUGAUGAGGAGAAUUACUUGGAUUUAUUUUCUCACAAGAACAUGAAGCUGAAGGAGCGGGUGCUGAUACCUGUCAAGCAGUAUCCCAAGUUCAAUUUUGUGGGGAAGAUCCUUGGACCACAAGGGAAUACAAUCAAAAGACUGCAAGAGGAGACAGGGGCAAAGAUCUCUGUUCUGGGCAAGGGCUCAAUGAGAGACAAAGCCAAGGAGGAAGAGCUGCGCAAAGGUGGAGAUCCCAAAUAUGCCCACUUAAAUAUGGAUCUGCAUGUCUUCAUUGAAGUCUUCGGACCCCCAUGUGAGGCUUAUGCUCUUAUGGCCCAUGCUAUGGAGGAAGUCAAGAAGUUCCUAGUACCAGAUAUGAUGGAUGAUAUCUGCCAGGAGCAGUUUCUAGAGCUCUCCUACCUGAAUGGAGUACCGGAGCCCUCUCGCGGGCGUGGGGUGCCCGUGAGAGGCCGAGGAGCAGCACCUCCCCCUCCACCUGUUCCCAGAGGCCGUGGUGUUGGACCACCUCGGGGGGCUCUGGUGCGUGGUACACCAGUGAGAGGAGCCAUCACCAGAGGUGCCACUGUGACUCGAGGAGUGCCACCCCCACCUACAGUGAGGGGUGCGCCAGCACCAAGAGCCCGGACAGCAGGCAUCCAGAGAAUACCUUUGCCUCCACCCCCUGCACCAGAAACAUAUGAAGAAUAUGGAUAUGAUGAUACAUAUGCAGAACAGAGUUAUGAAGGCUACGAAGGUUAUUACAGCCAGAGCCAAGGGGAUUCAGAAUAUUAUGACUAUGGACAUGGGGAGGUUCAAGAUUCUUACGAAGCUUAUGGCCAAGACGACUGGAAUGGGACCAGGCCGUCGCUGAAGGCCCCUCCAGCUAGGCCAGUGAAGGGAGCAUACAGAGAGCACCCAUAUGGACGUUAUUAAAAACACACAUGAGGGGAAAAUAUCAGUUAUGAGCAAAGUUGUUACUGAUUUCUUGUAUCUCCCAGGAUUCCUGUUGCUUUACCCACAACAGACAAGUGAUUGAAAACUCCUGAGGCAUUUCCUGGAGUAGAAUGGGUAGUGAAGACCCAUGUCAGCGAUCAGAGGACUCCGGAAACCAAGAGAGCUGCUUGCUGUGUCAAGGCUGGCCUGAGGGCAUUUGCAGAGCACAAAGAAACCCAGGAGAGAUCAACAGUCUUUUCCCACUCCACCUCUUGAUCUGUCUGAUUUGCCCACAGAAAGCCAGCCAGGAUCCCCUAAGAGAGUCUCUAGGCCCAGAAUGGAGUCCUCAGGGCUGCAGGGGACUGUGAUGCUAACAAACCUGCUUAGGACUUUAAAGAGCUGAAGGGGACUAACAGUGUCCCAAGCACAGCUUCCUAGAUCCGAAUAAACUGGCAACUCCCACUGUGCCAAUUCCCAGAUUGCCCGCUUCCCCUUAGCCUCCAGCAGAACUGGCUGGAACACGCUACCACCACCUCCUCUUUCCUGCCGCACACACUUGUGCCAUGGGUGCCAGCCUGGGAGUCCUCUGGAGGUUCCCAAGGCUGGUGCCACCUCUGUGACAGGCUGAGGAAAGGCCGGUGAGAAGGCCCAUUUACUUUGAGCAAGUUAUUUAACUUCUGAGCCUGGUUUUCUCUUCACUGUUGAUUACUAACCUUGUCCACACACUCUUAAAAGGUAGGGCUUUUCCUACUUCACUCCUGUACUAUAUAUCCCUUCCCCAACAAAUCUCUGGCACUGAGGAGCUCAAUAAAGUUUGGUCAAGUGAAGAAUGGU